UUGAAGAAAUACUUAGAUUAAAACAAUUAUCAGAAGAAAUUUAUAAUAAAAUAUAUUUUACUCUACAAUAUAUAUAUAUAUAUCAAUUUACAAUGAACGUAUGAUGAAUUCUGCAGUGGAGUUUUUUAUGUUCCUGAAUUAAAGAGCAAUUUUCUUAGUAUGAGUCAGCUGCACGAAAGAACUACAAAAUUGUUAUCUAAAAGGGUUAUUGCACAAUACAACAUCCACAGAAGGGAAGAAUUCUUGAAGUUAAAUGACAUCCAAUCGAUUGUUACCUUUACACAGUAAUGACCAAGCAUGCUUGACAACAAAAAUGGUGGACUCAAUUUGGUUAUGGCAUAUGCGAUAUGGACACCUCAAUCUUAACUGGCAGAGAACCUUGCAGCAACGGAAUAUUGUUGGUGGUCUUCCCCAAAUCGAUGUUACUAUCAAAGUUUGUCAAAGCUGUGUUGCUUGUAAACAACAUCGUGGAUCAUUUCCGAUACGGAAAGCAUGGAGGACUAAGGAAUUGUUGCAAUUGAUUCACUCAGACCUCUAUUUUCCAAUCAAUACAGCCUCAAACACCAAUAAAAGGUAUUUUAUAUCUUUUACUGAUGACUAUAGCAGGAAGAGGUGUGUUAAGUUUUUGCAACAACAAAAAUGAGGCUUUUAGCCCAUUCAAGCAAUUCAAGGUCUUUGCUGAAAAUGAAUCUUGGAAGACAAUCGAAAUUCUUGGCACUGAUUGUGGUGGUGAGUUCAAUUCCAAUGAGUUCACAGGAUUUUGCGCUAUGAAUGUAAUUUGGAGGGAAUUGACAUCAGUUAUACACCACAACGAAAUGAUGUGUGUGAGAGGAAGAAUCGUACAAUUUUUAACAUGGUAAGGAAGCAUUUUGGCCACUUGAAGCAUCCCAAAAAGCUUUUGGGCAGAGGCAAUUAACUGGAGUGUUAAAGUAUUGUAUAGGUGUACUAUUUUUCAGUGAAAAAUAGAUACCAGAAGCUUGGUACUCUCAAAAACCAAAUGUUGAUCUUUUUAGGAAUUUUGGGUGUAUAGUAUAUUCCCAUAUUCUUGAUGAGCGAAGGAAAACUUGAUGACAAGGGAAUCCUAUGUAUUUUCCUUGGAGUGAGCGAAGAGUCAAAGGCUUACUAAUUGUAUAAUCCACACACAAAGAAGACAAUUGUAAGUCGUGAUGUUAUUUUUAUGAAGCUGAAUUAUGGGAUUGGAAUAGUACAAAAAAACAAUCAACCUCAAUCCAUAUUGAGGAUGAGGAAGUAGAAACAAUUAUUGAAGAGACAAAUCAGGAAGAUGGAUCAAAAGUGCAGCAACAUUUAUCUGAUGAUGUGAGAAACGACCAAAAUGCAAGGACCUCAAGUGAAGAACAUCCAUCAAGAAUGACAACUGAACGAAAUAAACAUCAAAUAAGGAGGCCACAUUGGAUAAUUGAUUUGUAAGUGGAGAUGAGCUUUCUGAUGAUGAUAAUACUGCCAAUCUUAUUUUAUUUGCAGAUUGUGAUCCCAUUGCAUAUGAAGAUGCAUAAAAAGACUUAAAAUGGCAGAAAGCUAUGGAUAUAGAAAUUGAAUCAAUCAAAAGGAAUGAUACUUGGGAGCUGACUGAUCUUCCACAAGGCUAGAAUACCAUUGGCCUAAAGUGGGUUUACAAAACCAAACUAAAUGAAAAGGGUGAAGUUGACAAGUACAAAGCAUGACUGGCAGCGAAGGGAUACACUCAGAAGUUUGGCAUUGAUUAUGGUGAAGUGUUUGCUCCGUUCGCUAGGCUCGAUAUUGUUCGACUGAUAAUAGCUAUGGCUGCACAAAAUUCUUGGCCAAUUUAUCAAUUGGAUGUAAAGCCGACAUUCUUCAUGGUAAUUUACAUGAACGUGUAUAUAUUGGUCAACCUCCUGGAUAUGUAAAGCAAGGCAGUGAAGCAAAGGGGAUGUAUCAUGGUCAUCAAAGAAGGAACAAAUUGUUACUCUGUCAACAACUGAAUCAGAGUACAUUGCUUCAGCAUCAGGGGCGUGUCAAGUUAUUUGGUUGAAGCGAAUACCUGAAAUGUUACAUCAGCUUCACCAAGAACCAACAAUGAGUUACUGUGACAAUAGUUCUACAAUCAAGCUCUGCAAGAAUCCAAUAUUACAUGGGAGAAGUAAACAUAUCGAUGUGCGAUAUCAUUUUCUUUGAGAUCUUGUAAAUAAAAAAGUCAUAGAUUUGGUAUUUUGCAGAAGUGAAUAUCAGGUUGCACAUUUAUUAACUAAGCCUCUUAAGUUGUGUCCAUUUGUGAAGCUGCACGAAUUACUUGGUGUUUAGUUAGAGAAUGAUUGUAAAAUCAUGCUAUGAAUAACAUCUGGUUUAAGAGAGGCUGUUGAGUGUUUUAAUUUAGCAAAAUAAAAGAAUUGGUUUUUAGUGGACCUUUUCUUCAGGAAGAUAUUAUUGUUACUGAUUUUAAGAGUUCAUUAGUUGUAGAUCUGUUUAGUUGCUUAUUUUUAGGAAUAAGUUUUAUAUAUAAUGUUUAUUUA
Solanum pennellii is the source of this 2489-nucleotide long non-coding RNA. RefSeq lists it as uncharacterized. The transcript has 2 exons. Lineage: Eukaryota; Viridiplantae; Streptophyta; Magnoliopsida; Solanales; Solanaceae. The record is from RefSeq and is a predicted model, not a curated record.